This 253-nucleotide ribosomal RNA is filed under the name uncultured bacterium. RNAcentral describes it as "partial 16S ribosomal RNA". It matches the Rfam family "Bacterial small subunit ribosomal RNA", at positions 524 to 776 of the family's 1533-position model. The record is from RNAcentral.
UACGGAGGGUGCAAGCGUUAUCCGGAUUCACUGGGUUUAAAGGGUGCGUAGGCGGGCAGGUAAGUCCGUGGUGAAAUCUCUGAGCUUAACUCAGAAACUGCCAUGGAUACUAUUUGUCUUGAAUAUUGUGGAGGUAAGCGGAAUAUGUCAUGUAGCGGUGAAAUGCGUAGAGAUCCGGAGGAACACCAGUGGCGAAGGCGACACGCUGGGCCGUACCUGACACUGAUGCGCGACAGCAUGGGGAGCAAACAGG